Molecule: long non-coding RNA, 217 nt
Filed under: Ananas comosus (pineapple)
Lineage: Eukaryota; Viridiplantae; Streptophyta; Magnoliopsida; Poales; Bromeliaceae
Description: long non-coding RNA (ACOM_LNC032611)
Source: RNAcentral
AAUAAUACUAGUUAUAGUGCACGUGCAAUGCACGUAAAUUAAUUAAAUUAAAUUUAUAUUUAUAUUUAUAUUUAAAUAAUUAUUGGUGGUAUAAAUUUAUUUAUCAAUUAAUUUUUUUUGCUAAUAUUAGUUUUUUUUAAUAUGUAUCCAAAUUUUAAAAAUUUUAAAUUAAUAAAUUCAUAUUUAAAAUUUAAAAUUAAUUUUGAAUCCAUAAUUU